Triticum aestivum (bread wheat) is the source of this 125-nucleotide non-coding RNA. Lineage: Eukaryota; Viridiplantae; Streptophyta; Magnoliopsida; Poales; Poaceae. The record is from Rfam.
UUUAUACUCCCUCCGUCCGAAAAUACUUGUCACGGAAAUGAAUAAAAAUGGAUGCAUCUAAAACUAAAAUAUGACUAGAUACAUCCAUCCCUUCAACAAGUAUUUCUGGACGGAGGGAGUACAUC